AUACGGAGGGUGCAAGCGUUGUCCGGAUUUAUUGGGUUUAAAGGGUGCGUAGGUGGUUUUUUAAGUCAGUGGUGAAAGCCUACAGCUUAACUGUAGAGGUGCCAUUGAAACUGGGGAACUUGAGUAUGGACGAGGUAGGCGGAAUUUGUGGUGUAGCGGUGAAAUGCAUAGAUACCACAAAGAACACCGAUAGCGAAGGCAGCUUACUAGGCCAUAACUGACACUGAGGCACGAAAGUGUGGGGAGCGAACAGGAUUAGAAACCCCAGUAGUCC
This 274-nucleotide ribosomal RNA is filed under the name uncultured bacterium. RNAcentral's name for it is "partial 16S ribosomal RNA". It matches the Rfam family "Bacterial small subunit ribosomal RNA", at positions 523 to 796 of the family's 1533-position model. The record is from RNAcentral.